RNAcentral lists this ribosomal RNA (254 nucleotides) under uncultured bacterium. Its description in RNAcentral is "partial 16S ribosomal RNA". It matches the Rfam family "Bacterial small subunit ribosomal RNA", at positions 524 to 776 of the family's 1533-position model. The record is from RNAcentral.
UACGGAGGAUGCAAGCGUUAUCCGGAAUGAUUGGGCGUAAAGCGUCCGCAGGUGGCAAUGUAAGUCUGCUGUCAAAGCGUCUGGCUCAACCAGAUAAAAGGCAGUGGAAACUACAUAGCUAGAGUAAGGUAGGGGUAGAGGGAAUUCCUGGUGUAGCGGUGAAAUGCGUAGAGAUCAGGAAGAACACCGGUGGCGAAAGCGCUCUGCUGGACCUUAACUGACACUGAGGGACGAAAGCUAGGGGAGCGAACAGG